Oreochromis aureus is the source of this 426-nucleotide long non-coding RNA. NCBI's taxonomy places the organism in Eukaryota, Metazoa, Chordata, Actinopteri, Cichliformes, Cichlidae. The record is from Ensembl.
AGAAAGAGUGAGGUCUUGCUCCGAUGGGCUGAGUGACGAGGAUUCCAUGGUAAUGGGCCGAAGGAAAUGAGAGCUGCUCCAUCCAAAGUGGGAUGGAUGCCGUCUCUCCUAACAAGACCAGGUUUCCUCCAGAAAGUUUCCCUAUGAAGCCCACAUCGUUUCUGGGACACCACUCAGACAGCCAGCAAUUUAAGGAGAACAUGCAGCUAAACAUGUCACUCCUGGUCUGAUUGGGGAGGGGACCAGAGAAAACUACAGAGUCCGACAUUGUUUUGGUCUGUUCAUCUUUAUGGUGAACAUACCAACCACAUACUGUAUUGGACAGAUGACGGCUUAUUACAGGAGUGCUAGCCACUGCGCUAGCUGUGUAGCAUACUACUCAAUUCCAUUUUUUUUUAAAUGUAGCAUCAAAUGAGAACAGCAGUC